AACGCACAUUGCGCCCGCCAGCACUCUGGCGGGCAUGCCUGUUCGAGCGUCAUUUCAACCCUCGAGGCCCCCCCGGGGGCCCGGCGUUGGGGGCCGGCCCUGGCCGCCCCCGAAAUGCAGUGGCGACCUCGCCGCAGCCUCCCCUGCGUAGUAGCACACACCUCGCACCGGAGCGCGGAGACGGUCACGCCGUAAAACGCACCAGCUUUCAAGAGUUGACCUCGGAUCAGGUAGGAAUACCCGCUGAACUUAA
Molecule: unclassified non-coding RNA, 253 nt
Filed under: uncultured fungus
Lineage: Eukaryota; Fungi
Also listed under: 1 other name
Description: partial contains 5.8S ribosomal RNA, internal transcribed spacer 2, and large subunit ribosomal RNA
Source: RNAcentral